This 226-nucleotide long non-coding RNA is filed under the name Solanum tuberosum (potato). RNAcentral describes it as "long non-coding RNA (STUB_LNC006564)". The record is from RNAcentral. Lineage: Eukaryota; Viridiplantae; Streptophyta; Magnoliopsida; Solanales; Solanaceae.
GUCUACAUUGUUUGGCUAAGGGAAAAAUCAUACAUUCUUCUUGCACACUAGUAUCUACUUUAUUCUUCAAAAUGGAAAUAUGUUUUUUUACUUUCAUAGAGGGUUGCCCCAAUCUAAGAUGUCAUAGCUUCAAUUCUUAUAUCCUCUUGUCUGUAACUACUGCUCCAACUACUGGUACCACUUCAUGCUUGAGAAUGUAAAGCCUUUUCCUUCCUUAUAAAUCCCA